RNAcentral lists this ribosomal RNA (460 nucleotides) under uncultured bacterium. RNAcentral's name for it is "partial 16S ribosomal RNA". It matches the Rfam family "Bacterial small subunit ribosomal RNA", at positions 338 to 795 of the family's 1533-position model. The record is from RNAcentral.
CCUACGGGUGGCUGCAGUGAGGAAUAUUGGUCAAUGGACGCAAGUCUGAACCAGCCAUGCCGCGUGCAGGAAGACGGCUCUAUGAGUUGUAAACUGCUUUUGUACGAGGGUAAACGCAGAUACGCGUAUCUGUCUGAAAGUAUCGUACGAAUAAGGAUCGGCUAACUCCGUGCCAGCAGCCGCGGUAAUACGGAGGAUUCAAGCGUUAUCCGGAUUUAUUGGGUUUAAAGGGUGCGUAGGCGGUCGGAUACGUUAGAGGUGAAAUCCCGGGGCUCAACUUCGGAAUCGCCGCUGAUACUGGUCGGCUAGAGAGGAGUGGAGGUAGGCGGAAUGUAUGGUGGAGCGGUGAAAUGCUUAGAGAUCAUACAGAACACCGAUUGCGAAGGCAGCUUACCAAGCUACCUCUGACGUUGAGGCACGAAAGCGUGGGGAGCAAACAGGAUUAGAUACCCGGGUAGUC